Molecule: transfer RNA, 84 nt
Filed under: Spirochaetae bacterium HGW-Spirochaetae-6
Lineage: Bacteria; Pseudomonadati; Spirochaetota
Description: tRNA-Leu
Rfam family: tRNA
About the family: Transfer RNA (tRNA) molecules are approximately 80 nucleotides in length.
Source: RNAcentral
GCCCGGAUGGUGGAACUGGUAGACACGCUAUCUUGAGGGGGUAGUGGGAUCACUCUCGUGUGAGUUCAAAUCUCACUCCGGGCA